CUGAAAGCAUCUAAGCACGAAACUUGCCCCGAGAUGAGUUCUCCCUGACCCUUUAAGGGUCCUGAAGGAACGUUGAAGACGACGACGUUGAUAGGCCGGGUGUGUAAGCGCAGCGAUGCGUUGAGCUAACCGGUACUAAUGAACCGUGAGGCUUAACCUUACAACGCCGAAG
This 172-nucleotide ribosomal RNA is filed under the name Escherichia coli. RNAcentral describes it as "partial 23S ribosomal RNA". It matches the Rfam family "Bacterial large subunit ribosomal RNA", at positions 2771 to 2925 of the family's 2925-position model. RNAcentral also lists the same sequence under 1 other name. The record is from RNAcentral. Lineage: Bacteria; Pseudomonadati; Pseudomonadota; Gammaproteobacteria; Enterobacterales; Enterobacteriaceae.